GAAUUUAAGGUCUACAGGAGGACUGUGUAGGUUCUGUGUAAAUUCUGCACCUUUUUAUAUAAGGGACUUGAGCAUCUGCAGACUGGUAUCCAAGGAGGAUUCUGGAACUCUGCUCCCAUGGAUACCAAGGGAUGGCUGUGCAUGGAGCAGCAUUACAUCUGCUGAUGACUAAAGUGGAGGAGAAGAUCUAUAGAAAAAGCUAUUUCCCCUCAUGGUAUUUUCUUUUUUUCCUAAUGCUGAACCAAUGCCAGUACAACAUCUCUUGCCUGCUUCAGAAUCUGUCACAUGAAAAUGGAAACCCAAACUGGCUUGAGCUAUUAUGGGAUGACAGCCUGGCUCCACCAACAAAGACACAGAAAUUGCCCUUUGAUGAUCUCAUCCUAUUAGCCCCUCUACUGCUGGACAGCCUAUCAGUGACAGGUCCUCCCUUGCUUAUUAUGUUCACCUUGUUCUAACCUUCUUCCUCUUUUACAUGCAAUUUUAAAUGUUCAAGAUUAAAACAUAAAUAAAUUUCUAUAGGUUGGAUGUGCUUACUCCCCAAGGGUUAAGGGCUCAUGUGUUAGAAGCUUGGUACCAGAGUGGCCAGGCUGGGAGGUGGUGUGGAGUCUAGAGGGAGGUCCUUAGGUCACUGAGGGCUGUGUCCUCAGAAGGCAUCAAGAUCAUUUGCACUGAACCCUGUUCUGGCUUUCACAAGAGGUUGUUGCAGAAGAAGCCCACUCGCCACCUGAUAAUGAGAUCUUUGCACGCACCCCUGCCCUCGGAUGCCAUCCUCCAUGAGGCCCUUGCUCAAGCCAAGCUUAUGCAGCCACCAAGUCCUGGAACCUACAGAAGUGUGAUCUAAAUAAAGCUUUUCUUACAAGCCUCAGCUAUUUUGUUAUAGUAACAGCAAAUGGACUGAUAUAUACACAUUGUGGCUCUCAUGGUCUAUGGUGCCUCUUUUCAUCAGGGAAAUCAAAUUUCAAAUAAAGGGCUGGAAACUUCUCAUCCCCUUUACAGCAAAAAAUUUAAAAAAUUAAAAAAAUAAAAG
This 1027-nucleotide long non-coding RNA is filed under the name Fukomys damarensis (Damara mole-rat). RNAcentral's name for it is "lncRNA (ENSFDAG00000027995.1)". Lineage: Eukaryota; Metazoa; Chordata; Mammalia; Rodentia; Bathyergidae. The record is from RNAcentral.